RNAcentral lists this ribosomal RNA (4033 nucleotides) under Triticum aestivum (bread wheat). RNAcentral describes it as "partial small subunit ribosomal RNA". Lineage: Eukaryota; Viridiplantae; Streptophyta; Magnoliopsida; Poales; Poaceae. The record is from RNAcentral.
UCCUUCGCCGGUGGGUUGGGGGUUGGCGUCGGGUCGGGGUCGGGCAAGGGGAGGGGUGGGUACGGCGACGGCGGCCUCGGUGGGUGACGGGGCGGAGGGAGUGUGUCUGGAGCGGCGGCCGAUACCGGAAGUGGUUGUCGGCGGCGAGGCUGGGAGAGGGGGAGGGCAGGGGAAUAGUGUUCUGUUCUCUUCUCUUCUCCCUCCCUUUAGCUAGCGCUGGCUCGUCCAGUUCGCCGCUGUUACCGCGCGGAUCUGGGCGGUCACGGCAGUAGCAGCUCGACCCGACCCGCCGUGUCAAGCCAUCUCAUCCUUACUCCCCCGCCACCCUGCGGAGGGGACGAGCUCGACGAGGUUCGCUCGCUGGUGUCGCGGCCUAGGUGGAGGUGUUGGUGGGUGGCCGCCGGUGCCUUCCAAUCCCUGGAAGCAGGCCAGGUACACGAAGAAGAGGUACCUCGAGGCUGUGGCGUCGUCGACGUAGGUACCUUCACGGCUGCGGUACCUGGAGCAGUUAGUACCAAACGACGAUGGCGGCUGGCAAAGGGACUGUUCAACUGUGGUUUCGGUGGUAACAGUUUCAGCGGCAACCGGCCGCAACGGUGACCAGCGACGAGGUGCGUAGAACAGCCACGACGCUCCGCUACGGUAGACGUAGACAACGACGUCGGACCCUCCACCGUCCCAGAGGUCCACUACGGGAGAAACGACGGGUUAGCAACUUCUACGGUAUCCUGCUCUAGGAGACGACGACGACACAGAGCACCAACUUCUUCCCCACACGACCCUUCUCCUCCGUCACAACUCUCACGAGCUAUACCUUGUCCUGCUCGAACCCGACGUAGCCGAGACCAAGAGUUGGAGGUUGUACUCAGGGAAAAAAAGCACGGAGCUUGCGGUGCUCAGUAGUACCCGUGACGUCUACGCCUCCUCAAAAAGGCCCCGCUAAACGAACAAGGGUCGGCGCGACCACAGUUGAUGGAGCUCGGUGAUACUGGUAGGGUUGGUGCGAGUGGGGGGACUUACUUGAUAAACACCUAGACGUUUCCCCCUAAGUUAAUUAAAAGUCAACAUCUUUUCCCUCUUCCCCCUAAGUUAAUUAAAAGGAGGAGUUCUAGUUUCUUUGUUUUAGAAACACCGCUACUAUCUUCCCCAAGUGCUGAAGUGCAAUUAUGUGUCUGAUAACCAUUCCCGUAAUUUUGUAUAUAGACCACACUUUACCAGCAUGUACGAACUAAUCUUAUAAAAGUUCACAACAUCCACAUGCCGACACCCCUUUGUAAAAGUACCAGAUUAAAAGAUUAAUUACAUACGUGCUCUGUACUUAGAACCUAAGAUUUGAAAAAGGAGCUACAAACCCGAAGGAGAUUUAAAAGCAUAUAACGUGUGUUGUGUUGUGUAUCUAAGUACAGAAGGUACGAACGACAGAACAUUGUUUGUCUACAACCCUACCUAUGAUUAAAAGAUUUACUAAACUUGAGUACAACAAAAGAUAAGAUGACAGUAACCAAGUAGUAAGACUUGGUAAGUCAACAACCUUGAGGCCGUAUAUAACCAGGACUUCAAUACGACUUCUUUCUUAUACUGCGUUCGAUACUAGGUAGGAUAAAACACGAAAUUUGCCAAACAACGUAUGAGACUGUAGACGACGUAUUGAAUUAAGACAAACGAGCCGGUAUUUUCGGAAUGAACUAAAGACUUAGAAGGUAAGUGGAAAGCAACAGUACUCACCACUUACCAGAACUCCUCAUUGGUAAAUCUAUGACAUACAAAAAAACGAGUUUGUGCUAGAGCUGUAACUAUUAUCGUCUCUCUAUUAUAUGCGGAAUAUUAGAACAUUGACAUCUUUUUUCAUAUCUAUUGGGGGUCUUCAUAGGGCAAACCUAGUGUAUUGGGGGAGUACAAAUUUUGGCUCAAGAAUUAGGGGACUUGAUAAGAUUUGGUCUGUAUAGUGGGGGACCGUGGGUGAAUUCAUCAAACCCUGCUACCAAAACGUAUACACCGCGAACCCGACCCGGGUAGCUGGCCGGUGCAGCCUGACCCGGACGACCCACGCCACAUUUACUGCGGGAACUCGUUCAAGCUGGGUCUGAGCCGGAGAAGCGGAGGGUUAAAUCGCACUCGAAAAAUUAAAAAGUCGUCACAUGAUGUCGUUUAACAACUAGUAAUAUGACAAGACAUACGUUACGAUACAAUUUCUUCCUUUGAAAACUGUUGUUUAUAAAAUACUGACAUGAUAAGACAUACCUUACCACACAAUGUUCUAUAAAAUAGUCUUCACAUGUAUAAUAACCGUAGUUUAAGUCUUUAUCUGUCGUUUAAAGGUAUCGUAACUUCUAGAAUUUAAGUGUGUUAUUCAAGGUACCUUAUGAGUCCAAGUUGGACUAUUUUCGAUGUCCAGAAACUGUACGUUUUGAGGUGUUUGCUGUGAAUUAACAGUUCCUUAAACUACAAAGUGUAGUUUAUUUUCGUGUGUGAAGAUAGACCACAAUGUGUAGUUGAUGCACUGUAACUUUUUGUUAGACCCGUAAGUGAAAAAGGGUCACUCUUCAGUAAGGUCGGACAAUAAAGAAACGUGAACGUAGACGACACUCGAACUUCUUCGGGACAACACUUACGGGUCUAACAUACACGUAGACGACACUCGAACUUCUUCGUGAACGUAGUUGAUGCAUUGUACGUCUUCAUCAACACCACAAGGAAGGUGGAAUACUUAAUCAGACACUUCUCCACUUAUCAGCCUCGGGGUACCUCGGUUUGUUUGUAAUACAAGUCCGAUGUCUAAUAUAAGUAUGAUGUCGAACUCAGACUUAAACAUAACUAUGUACUUUUACAGUACACACGGUUCUUUUCAUACAAUCGACAUGUUAGUUAAAACCACACGUAAAGAAUAAAUAAAAACUCAGCCUGCACACGUAAAGAUUAAUCUUCAUCUUCUUCUUUCUACACUGUGCCUGAAGGAUUCUAGUGUAUGUAUAUCAACUUAUCAUAUUAAUCUUAUUAUUAUUAUUUUAAGUUUUUCGAAUAAAUAAAACCGAUGUUUAAACGGCCUCACAAUAUCUACACGUAUGGUAAAGCACUUCCUUAUUGUAUUUACCACCAGUCCUGUUUGCUUUUAACUAGUAAAAAUUUCGAAGAACCUCGUAGCUAAAACAAAUUAUAACACGUUUAGUAGUGUUUAUAAUAAAGAAGUACUUUAAAACGUGUAUUGGUUUUUUUUCAUUAAAACAACCCCUCGUCCUAACGUGUAGACUACAUUCUAUUUCUAUAUUCAUGACAAUCUGUACUCUGGAUGAGCGCGUGUACAGUUAGAGUUGUACGUAGAACAACAAGGCACGUUGCGUACCCGUAGAAUGAUCACAAUAGGAUUUUAACCGAUUGAUACCGAGUAUAACAAAAGGGGUCCAUCGAGUACCGCUCACUACGCACUCGGCAGGACUAGGAAAACGAUACAAUAAUAUAAAAUCGGUACUUCCUAAAUGACGAACAGUCAAGCAUCACCAAGGCCGACAAACGACUUGAAAACAAGAACGAACACGAUAAAAAAAAUGACAAAUCUACCGAGUUAAAUGAAGGUUAAAAUGAGAACUCAAAAGGGUACGUACGUAUGAGAAUAUGGGGAGGAUGAACGAACAACCAAGAUGCGAGACGGAAACACUCCACAUUAAUAAUUUAAAACAAGUAUCAGCUCGUAACCUACUAUAACAUAAACAGUACUACAUGUACCAAGUACUUGAUACGGUUGGACGUCGAAACAACGUGAUCACUAUCAUCCUAUUACGUUCAAAACUGUUAGGUACGUAUAAAGGCGUAGUAUUAUUAGAAGAAGAUCAGAAGAAGAUCAGAAGAAGAAGAUUGAAAGAAGAAAGGGUAAAAUGCCUAAACGAAUUCUAGUGCCUUCGAACCCAACUACCUCACUAACAUAAAUCAAAAACAAAACUGCAACACUUUGAACGAUGAAUACCUACUUUGACACAUUAUAACUAUUUUGAUACAUAUACAUGCCUACUUUGAACGAUGAUAACCAUUGUACACAACC